Ostrea edulis (European flat oyster) is the source of this 977-nucleotide long non-coding RNA. RefSeq lists it as uncharacterized. The transcript is spliced from 2 exons. The record is from RefSeq and is a predicted model, not a curated record. Lineage: Eukaryota; Metazoa; Mollusca; Bivalvia; Ostreida; Ostreidae.
UGCAGUUGUCGAUACCCACCUUUUAUUAUUGGGAAAUGAAUAUUUUUCAAAUGAUUAAAAUUGUUAUAUUUUCAGAGCAGUUCAGAAGUUUAUUAAGAACUCCAACAAAUCUUAAUCAGCCCUAUAUAUCAUAUGUUUUAGAUAUGCUUUGCAUUUUAUGGCUGAUUAUGUACUUACAUGAACCUAUACAUAUAUUGUAUAUCAUCGUAAUAGCCGUGUUUCGAGUUACUCCGGAACACAGUGUUUAUUCUGUGUUUAGUCACGCCGCGUCAAAAAUGUUCCACAGGGUUACUUCCGGUUUAUCGUUGUUUACCUACCAACAGUCGACACUUCGUGUAUUAGGCCUAGGCUUAAUUUUGUCGAUCAUCAUGAAAUUGAAAUACACAUUUAAUAGUUUGGGGUGUAUGCGGUACAUAUUUGUUUAUGAGCGUUUGAUAAGCUACUAUUGAUCUACGAAAUACAACGAAAGACUUCGUCAAGAACAGAAGAAGACGAUGCAUGUCGUGUAAGGCCCAGCUGUCUAGUAACCGGAGGGGUAAAGGAAAAGAACGUAUUAGACUCACUGAAACCUGUCAAACAGGUAUAUGGGAACAGGAUCAUUUUCCAUGCCUUUCACCUGAGGUCUUCAGUUUCAUCAUUAAUCAUCUGAAUGUCGGUAUGCCAAACUCUCAUGAUGUCAUGCCAUUACUGGAUAUUCCUUAACACUGGUUUAUUUAAGCCACACUACCUAUAACAUUACCAAAAUAUUAGACUGAAAAUUUUCAAAUACACAAGAUUUGAAGCAGCAAUAGAAAAGAAUUACAUAUGUAUAACACACAAAAAAGAAGAAAUUAAUUCUCACCUGGCUGAUAUGAACUUUUUACUCCUUUUUAGCUCCCUUUCACUGCAUACCAGCCAAUAACUAGCAGUUAUUAUAUGCAGAUCAGCCAUUGUUAUCAACCUGUGUAUAUAUAUGUUGAAUGAAAUAUGAAUGAAAA